GUGGAUGUAGCUCAGUGGUAGAGCCCCGGAUUGUGGUUCCGGCUGUCGAGGGUUCAAAUCCCUUCAUCCACCCCA
This 75-nucleotide transfer RNA is filed under the name Gammaproteobacteria bacterium. RNAcentral describes it as "tRNA-His". It matches the Rfam family "tRNA". From Rfam's summary of the family: Transfer RNA (tRNA) molecules are approximately 80 nucleotides in length. Their secondary structure includes four short double-helical elements and three loops (D, anti-codon, and T loops). The record is from RNAcentral. Lineage: Bacteria; Pseudomonadati; Pseudomonadota; Gammaproteobacteria.